Molecule: long non-coding RNA, 723 nt
Organism: Oreochromis aureus
Lineage: Eukaryota; Metazoa; Chordata; Actinopteri; Cichliformes; Cichlidae
Source: Ensembl
UUAAAUUAUAUGCAACAUUCUCUGACUGGAAGAAAUUUGUUUAACAUUUAAACCUAUUUUCUGCACAUUCCAGCACAUAAAAUAAAAUAUUUUUUUGUGUUUACACUCACUCUUUCAAAUAGAUGCAAGUAAAACACAGCAGAAAAUAAAUAAAAUCAAAGACUAGCGGUCCUGUUGCUCUAUUUUCACCUGUAAAGCAGGACUGGGGUAGGCGGAGGAGGUUUACCCUGGUGCAGGUGCUGCAGCGGUCAGUGGAAGAAUCCGCGAGUUUCUCUGUGAAUUUCACAUUACGUCGUAGCGCACUCGGUGCUUGCUUGGAAGUUUAGGGGUUUUUUUGCUGUAAAAAGAAGUUUUCUUCCCACGCACAACGGACACUAAUGUUUUUGUCACUUUUUAUGGAAUCAAACUCAAAAUAAGACAUGGCUGGUAAGGACAUGAGGAGGAAACAGUAGGAGCUGUGUGAGGCUACUAAAGGCAGUGGAUCCCUCAGCAGCUGGAUUACAAAGAGCACAGUCUCAGAUCAACACAGCCCUGCCUUCCAGCACUAUCAGCAGCAGGAGCAGCAGCAACCCCUCAACAGCAACAUUGUACCCAUCAGCUUUGAGCACCCGCCCCUAUAAACGUCUCUGCACGGCCCUGAUCCUGAAUCCUCAUGCCGCAUUGCUCAUGAUGCAUCCAUAGGUGUGUAAGUCUGCAUUAGAUGCGGACACACCACAACAAGUC